GCAGCCGCGGUAAUACGGAGGGUCCAAGCGUUAUCCGGAAUCAUUGGGUUUAAAGGGUCCGUAGGCGGGCCUGUAAGUCAGUGGUGAAAUCUCCGGGCUCAACCCGGAAACUGCCGUUGAUACUAUUUAUCUUGAAUUCUGUUGAGGUGGGCGGAAUACAUCAUGUAGCGGUGAAAUGCUUAGAUAUGAUGUAGAACACCGAUUGCGAAGGCAGCUCACUAAGCAGACAUUGACGCUGAGGCACGAAAGCGUGGGGAUCAAA
Molecule: ribosomal RNA, 262 nt
Filed under: uncultured bacterium
Lineage: Bacteria
Description: partial 16S ribosomal RNA
Rfam family: Bacterial small subunit ribosomal RNA
Source: RNAcentral